UUUCCAUAGGUGAACCUGCGGAGGGAUCAUUACAGAGUUCAUGCCCUACCGGGUAGAUCUCCCACCCUAUGUUAUUAUUACUUUGCUGCUUUGGCGGGCCGUUAAGCUCCGGCCCGACUACCGGCCCCGGCUGGUAAGCGCCCGCCAGAGGACCCAAAACCCUGAAUAUUAGUGUCGUCUGAGUACUAUAUAAUAGUUAAAACUUUCAACAACGGAUCUCUUGGUUCUG
This 229-nucleotide unclassified non-coding RNA is filed under the name plant metagenome. RNAcentral's name for it is "partial contains small subunit ribosomal RNA, internal transcribed spacer 1, and 5.8S ribosomal RNA". The record is from RNAcentral.